Molecule: non-coding RNA, 72 nt
Organism: Angiostrongylus costaricensis
Lineage: Eukaryota; Metazoa; Nematoda; Chromadorea; Rhabditida; Metastrongylidae
Source: Rfam
GGGUGUAUAGCUCAGUGGUAGAGUAUUCGACUGCAGAUCGAGAAGUCCGUGGUUCAACUAGGCGUGCCUCCU